Molecule: non-coding RNA, 134 nt
Filed under: Pseudo-nitzschia pungens
Lineage: Eukaryota; Bacillariophyta; Bacillariophyceae; Bacillariales; Bacillariaceae
Source: RNAcentral
AGAGAAAGAAAGAAAACACUUUUGUUCAUACACAUAUAUACACAUUUAUAUUAUUGGGAAAACUUUUGAUCACAAAACGUUUUGAAGCAAUGUGCUUUUGUUAAAAUAGGGAAAACUAAAUCAUACACUAUAAA